UGGGGAAUUUUGGACAAUGGGCGCAAGCCUGAUCCAGCCAUGCCGCGUGCAGGAUGAAGGCCUUCGGGUUGUAAACUGCUUUUGUACGGAACGAAAAGUCUCUUUCUAAUAAAGAGGGACCAUGACGGUACCGUAAGAAUAAGCACCGGCUAACUACGUGCCAGCAGCCGCGGUAAUACGUAGGGUGCAAGCGUUAAUCGGAAUUACUGGGCGUAAAGCGUGCGCAGGCGGUUAUAUAAGACAGUUGUGAAAUCCCCGGGCUCAACCUGGGAACUGCAUCUGUGACUGUAUAGCUAGAGUACGGUAGAGGGGGAUGGAAUUCCGCGUGUAGCAGUGAAAUGCGUAGAUAUGCGGAGGAACACCGAUGGCGAAGGCAAUCCCCUGGACCUGUACUGACGCUCAUGCACGAAAGCGUGGGGAGCAAACAGGAUUAGAUACCCUGGUAGUCCACGCCCUAAACGAUGUCAACUGGUUGUUGGGUCUUCACUGACUCAGUAACGAAGCUAACGCGUGAAGUUGACCGCCUGGGGAGUACGGCCGCAAGGUUG
This 548-nucleotide ribosomal RNA is filed under the name uncultured bacterium. Its description in RNAcentral is "bacterial SSU rRNA". It matches the Rfam family "Bacterial small subunit ribosomal RNA", at positions 355 to 896 of the family's 1533-position model. The record is from RNAcentral.